CUUUUUAGAUCACCGAAGUCAAGCAUCAUUGGGCGCGAUCAGUACUUGGGUGGGUGACCACCUGGGAACACCGCGUGCCGUU
Caerostris extrusa is the source of this 82-nucleotide non-coding RNA. NCBI's taxonomy places the organism in Eukaryota, Metazoa, Arthropoda, Arachnida, Araneae, Araneidae. The record is from the annotation of a GenBank genome assembly.